Molecule: long non-coding RNA, 756 nt
Organism: Equus quagga
Lineage: Eukaryota; Metazoa; Chordata; Mammalia; Perissodactyla; Equidae
Exons: 2
Source: RefSeq, a predicted model, not a curated record
UGGAAGAAAUGGGAAGUCGCCUUGAGGACUUACAGAAGAACGUAAACGACUUAAUGGUGCCAGCUGGGAUUGAAGAUUCUAUUCAAGGACAAAUGGGGCACACGCAUUGAAGGAGUUGGCUUGAAACAGGGCCAGGAUGCUGAUACAGGAGGAGUCGGCUCCCUGGACGACGUUCUCGAAGGCUCAUCACAGGGCCAGGACGCUGAUACAGGAGGGGUCUGUUUGAAGGCACUUGCUGUUCGCUCACCUUGACUUGUUAAUCCACGUUGACUCCAUCUGACUAAAAUGAAAAUCAUUUAUGUGUUUUUACAAACUGAAUUUUUCCUACACAAAAUGUUUUAGCAAUUACAGGAAAUUAAGGCACUUUUAUUGAAAGCUUUGGAUUCCAGUUUAUUUCCCUGUACAUUAAUUGGUAUAUAAAUCAACCACUAUCUCUUUCAAAUUUUUUUCUUAUAGACCUGAAGACAGUAGACCAGAAAAUGUGAUAGCUUUUUGAGUAAAACUCUACAUGAGUUCUUAUUUUUAGUAUUUAAUUUAAAAAUUCACUUUAGUAAAAUAAAAGAUUAAAAGAACAAAGGCAAUACAAUCAGAAUGUAAUUUGGAAGGUGACUAACCACUUACCAAAGAUGGUUAUAAAAUGGCAGAAUGUUUGUAAAUCACAGAAGAAAAGCAUGCACUAUAUUAGGGAAAAUUAAUUUUUCCUGAAUUAAUUUCUAUAUAGAUCUUUUGAAUAAAAUCAUAAGCAGUUUUCUGAUA